RNAcentral lists this transfer RNA (58 nucleotides) under Loxodonta africana (African savanna elephant). It matches the Rfam family "tRNA", at positions 8 to 63 of the family's 71-position model. From Rfam's summary of the family: Transfer RNA (tRNA) molecules are approximately 80 nucleotides in length. The record is from Rfam by way of RNAcentral. Lineage: Eukaryota; Metazoa; Chordata; Mammalia; Proboscidea; Elephantidae.
UGGCAAAAUGGUUAAUGUGCUUGACUGCUAACCAAAAGAUUGGUGGUUUGAACCCACC